This 424-nucleotide ribosomal RNA is filed under the name uncultured bacterium. Its description in RNAcentral is "bacterial SSU rRNA". It matches the Rfam family "Bacterial small subunit ribosomal RNA", at positions 355 to 796 of the family's 1533-position model. The record is from RNAcentral.
UGGGGAAUCUUGCACAAUGGGGGAAACCCUGAUGCAGCGACGCCGCGUGAGCGAUGAAGCCCUUCGGGGUGUAAAGCUCUUUCGACAGGAACGAUAAUGACGGUACCUGGAGAAGAAGCUGCGGCUAACUACGUGCCAGCAGCCGCGGUAAUACGUAGGCAGCAAACGUUGUUCGGAAUUACUGGGCGUAAAGAGUGUGUAGGCGGUUUUGUAAGUUUGGUGUGAAAUCUCCCGGCUUAACUGGGAGGGUGCGCCGAAAACUGCAAGGCUUGAGUACUGGAGAGGAUAGCGGAAUUCCUGGUGUAGCGGUGAAAUGCGUAGAUAUCAGGAGGAACACCGGCGGUGUAGACGGCUAUCUGGACAGUAACUGACGCUGAGACACGAAAGCGUGGGGAGCAAACAGGAUUAGAUACCCCCGUAGUCC